Molecule: ribosomal RNA, 454 nt
Filed under: Streptococcus mitis
Lineage: Bacteria; Bacillati; Bacillota; Bacilli; Lactobacillales; Streptococcaceae
Description: bacterial SSU rRNA
Rfam family: Bacterial small subunit ribosomal RNA
Source: RNAcentral
GACGAACGCUGGCGGCGUGCCUAAUACAUGCAAGUAGAACGCUGAAGGAGGAGCUUGCUUCUCCGGAUGAGUUGCGAACGGGUGAGUAACGCGUAGGUAACCUGCCUGGUAGCGGGGGAUAACUAUUGGAAACGAUAGCUAAUACCGCAUAAGAGUAGAUGUUGCAUGACAUUUGCUUAAAAGGUGCAAUUGCAUCACUACCAGAUGGACCUGCGUUGUAUUAGCUAGUUGGUGGGGUAACGGCCCACCAAGGCGACGAUACAUAGCCGACCUGAGAGGGUGAUCGGCCACACUGGGACUGAGACACGGCCCAGACUCCUACGGGAGGCAGCAGUAGGGAAUCUUCGGCAAUGGACGGAAGUCUGACCGAGCAACGCCGCGUGAGUGAAGAAGGUUUUCGGAUCGUAAAGCUCUGUUGUAAGAGAAGAACGAGUGUGAGAGUGGAAAGUUCACA